UACGUAGGGGGCAAGCGUUGUCCGGAAUCAUUGGGCGUAAAGAGCGCGUAGGCGGCCAUACAGGUCCGUUGUGAAAACUCGAGGCUUAACCUCGAGACGUCGAUGGAAACCGUAUGGCUAGAGUCCGGAAGAGGAGAGUGGAAUUCCUGGUGUAGCGGUGAAAUGCGCAGAUAUCAGGAAGAACACCCGUGGCGAAGGCGGCUCUCUGGGACGGUACUGACGCUGAGACGCGAAAGCGUGGGGAGCGAACAGG
Molecule: ribosomal RNA, 253 nt
Filed under: uncultured bacterium
Lineage: Bacteria
Description: partial 16S ribosomal RNA
Rfam family: Bacterial small subunit ribosomal RNA
Source: RNAcentral